This 136-nucleotide ribosomal RNA is filed under the name Turris chaldaea. RNAcentral describes it as "partial 28S ribosomal RNA". The stretch from base 71 to 136 matches the Rfam family "Eukaryotic large subunit ribosomal RNA", at positions 1 to 66 of the family's 3401-position model. Lineage: Eukaryota; Metazoa; Mollusca; Gastropoda; Neogastropoda; Turridae. The record is from RNAcentral.
UGCCUUCCGUCUCGCCCACCUCGAAGGAGAAGGUGGGAGGAGGGGGGUGGGUAAGCCGCCUUUUCGUUUCCGACCUCAGAUCGGACGAGAUUACCCGCUGAAUUUAAGCAUAUCACUAAGCGGAGGAAAAGAAACU